RNAcentral lists this ribosomal RNA (396 nucleotides) under Triticum aestivum (bread wheat). RNAcentral describes it as "partial small subunit ribosomal RNA". Lineage: Eukaryota; Viridiplantae; Streptophyta; Magnoliopsida; Poales; Poaceae. The record is from RNAcentral.
AUGUACUUAGAUGGGGCGUUCUCCAGGCAUGGCGCUGGGGCUGGGGCGGUGCUUAUAUCGCCCGCUCAGGACAAGCUCUAUUACGCCGUGCAGCUCUGUUUCCAGCAAGGUGAAAAGGUCUCCAACAACAUAGCAGAGUAUGAAGGUUUAAUAGCAGGCUUGAAGGCCGCGGCUGCCCUGGGGGUGAAACGCCUCACCAUCAAGGGAGAUUCGCAGCUCCUUGUCAAUUUCUCCAACAAGGUGUACGAGCCGAAGGAUGAGCACAUGGAAGCCUACCUAGCGGAGGUCCGCAAGAUGGAGAAGCAGUUCUGGGGGUUGGAGUUGCAGCAUGUGCCCCGUGGCACCAAUCAGGAGGCCAACGACAUCGCCAAACGGGCGUCCAGGCGGUUACCUUAG